GGGCUGGGGGUCCUCCAGGACAGGUUUGGGAACCACUGAUCUAGAGGAUUCUGCUGGAACCUUUUUGACAUUCUACAUGGUCUCUCUCUGUUCUGUCUGUUUUCUGUAGAGGAUGUACAUUGAGUUAGACCUUUGUUGAUAGUUUAUGUAAUAAUCAGCAAGCAGGUAAUGAGGGCAGACUCCCCCAUUACAUCAAUACUCCCCUUUUAUCUGCCAUAAUGAAAAGCACAGGACUCCAAAACUCACACCUUCAAGAGAAGUUCCACAAACAAGGAAAUAGAUGGGCUAGGAGAUAAGCCUGCAAAGACAAUCACCCUGACCAUUUGUGCAAGGGAAGAAUGAUACCAUUAGCAUGUCAUUGAGCAGACUAAUCCUAUCAUUAUUUUCCCCAUUGUUCACCUCAGUCCUUCAGUCCUAAAACCUGAGGUGUGAACCCCGCGCAGGUACUGCAAGUGCGGAUGGCCAAAGCCAAAUACUCCAGUUACGGUGGCCUUUAUCAAGUCAUGCUCUGUAAUUUUGUGCUGUAAAAGAAAAGUUUAACCUUUUUUUGUUUCAAGUUUAAAGUUGUGUUUAUUGAUACAUGCAUCAAAAAAUAAAAUAUUUCAUCAGAAAAAAAUACUAUGCUCUGUGUGUACAUUAAUAAUUAAUAAAUACAUGAUUCACAUGUGUUCACUUUACAUUAAGGUUCACUUUCACAGAUUAUUAAUGUUUGUAACUCAUGAAUAAAUGGUUCACAUGUGUUCACUUUACAUUAAGGUUCACUUUCAGAGGUUAUUAAUGUUUAUAACUCAUUAAUAAAUGGUUCACAGGUUUCCACUUUACAUUAAGGUUCACUUUCACAGGUUAUUAAUGUUUAUAACUCAUUAAUAAAUGGUUCACAGGUUUCCACUUUACAUUAAGGUUCACUUUCACAGGUUAUUAAUGUUUAUAACUCAUUAAUAAAUGGUUCACAGGUUUCCACUUUACAUUAAGGUUCACUUUCACAGGUUAUGAAUGUUUAUAACUCAUAAAUAAAUGGUUCACAGGUUUCCACUUUACAUUAAGGUUCACUUUUGGGCAAUGAAUCAGUCCUCCAAUUUGAUCAAAGGAAGAAUUUAUGUUUUGUUAAGAUGGCUCUGGUAGCAGCAAAGAAAUGUUUUGUCCUAUGUGCCUGUGGAAAAAAUAAUGUAUAAUUUGAAAAAAAAAAAAAAAUCAUGGAUGUUCGAAAAGAUUUGGGGCAAAUUUAUUGAAUAUUUGAAUAAUUUGGAUGUUACAUUGAUUGAAAAUGCUGAUGUGAUAAUGUAACCCUUCUUUAACAUUUUUUUUUUAAAGUAUUUAUAUAUUUAUUUUAUUAUUAUUAUAAUUUUUAUCUUACACAUCAGCUCAAGGGCUUGUAAUAAUGUCCAUGCAAGUGUUCUGUCUAUUGAGGGGUGGGACAAGGGUGAGAGGGUGUUUAGAAAAAAUAUUUUACUUGUAUACUGAACUGAUUCUGUAAAUUGUUCAUGUGAAAAUAAUAAAUAUCAAUUUCAUCUUGAUAAACAA
Long non-coding RNA from Ctenopharyngodon idella (grass carp), 1521 nucleotides. RefSeq lists it as uncharacterized. The transcript has 2 exons. The record is from RefSeq and is a predicted model, not a curated record. NCBI's taxonomy places the organism in Eukaryota, Metazoa, Chordata, Actinopteri, Cypriniformes, Xenocyprididae.